UACGUAGGGUGCAAGCGUUGUCCGGAAUUAUUGGGCGUAAAGAGCUCGUAGGCGGCUUGUCACGUCGGAUGUGAAAAUCCAGGGCUCAACCCUGGACCUGCAUUCGAUACGGGCAGGCUAGAAUUCGGUAGGGGAGUCUGGAAUUCCUGGUGUAGCGGUGAAAUGCGCAGAUAUCAGGAGGAACACCGGUGGCGAAGGCGGGACUCUGGGCCGAUAUUGACGCUGAGGAGCGAAAGCGUGGGGAGCGAAC
Molecule: ribosomal RNA, 250 nt
Filed under: uncultured bacterium
Lineage: Bacteria
Description: partial 16S ribosomal RNA
Rfam family: Bacterial small subunit ribosomal RNA
Source: RNAcentral